ACAUACCUUACGUUGCCUCGGCAGGGCGCGCCUACCCGGGGUAGGUCUUACCCUGGAAGACCCUACCCUGCAGACGCGGGUAACCCUGCCGGCGGUCCACUAAACUCUUGUUUAAUUUUGAAUUCUGAACAUUAUAACUAAAUAAGUUAAAACUUUCAACAACGGAUCUCUUGGUUCUGGCAUCGAUGAAGAACGCAGCGAAAUGCGAUAAGUAAUGUGAAUUGCAGAAUUCAGUGAAUCAUCGASAUCUUUGAACGCACAUUGCGCCCAUUAGUAUUCUAGUGGGCAUGCCUGUUCGAGCGUCAUUUCAACCCUUAAGCCUGUGUUGCUUAGUGUUGGGAACCUACAGCUUCUGGCUGUAGUUCCUCAAAGUUAGUGGCGGAGUCGGUUUCAAACUCUAGGCGCAGUAAUUCUUUUCUCGUCUGCAGUUAAGCCGGUCCCCUGCCGUAAAACCCCUAAUUUUUAAAGGUUGACCUCGGAUCAGGUAGGAAUACCCGCUGAACUUAAGCAUAUCAAUAA
Molecule: ribosomal RNA, 519 nt
Filed under: Pseudoxylaria brunneovinosa
Lineage: Eukaryota; Fungi; Ascomycota; Sordariomycetes; Xylariales; Xylariaceae
Description: Xylaria brunneovinosa eukaryotic LSU rRNA
Source: RNAcentral